AUUGAACGCUGGCGGCAUGCUUUACACAUGCAAGUCGAACGGUAACAGGCCUUCGGGUGCUGACGAGUGGCGCACGGGUGAGUAAUGCAUCGGAACGUACCCAGAGGUGGGGGAUAACGCAGCGAAAGCUGUGCUAAUACCGCAUGUGAUCUGAGGAUGAAAGCGGGGGACCGAGCAGCAACGUUUGGCCUCGCGCCUUUGGAGCGGCCGAUGUCGGAUUAGCUAGUUGGUGGGGUAAAGGCCUACCAAGGCGACGAUCCGUAGCUGGUCUGAGAGGACGACCAGCCACACUGGGACUGAGACACGGCCCAGACUCCUACGGGAGGCAGCAGUGGGGAAUUUUGGACAAUGGGCGCAAGCCUGAUCCAGCAAUGCCGCGUGCGGGAAGAAGGCCUUCGGGUUGUAAACCGCUUUUGGCAGGAACGAAACGGUGUCCGCUAAUACCGGGCGCUAAUGACGGUACCUGCAGAAUAAGCACCGGCUAACUACGUG
Molecule: ribosomal RNA, 492 nt
Filed under: uncultured bacterium
Lineage: Bacteria
Description: partial 16S ribosomal RNA
Rfam family: Bacterial small subunit ribosomal RNA
Source: RNAcentral